RNAcentral lists this non-coding RNA (85 nucleotides) under Serratia fonticola. Lineage: Bacteria; Pseudomonadati; Pseudomonadota; Gammaproteobacteria; Enterobacterales; Yersiniaceae. The record is from RNAcentral.
CGCUAUCAUCAUUAUUUUCAUUAUUACCUUCAUUAUCCGUAUGAUAAUUUUUGUAGUUACAACCGGCCUCUGGCCGGUUUUUUUA